AUGAUGUUUCUGUGCAGUGUUUGGCUCAUUCUUUACUUUCCAGGUGCUGUGAGUGGAGAAGGAAUAACUUCUCUCUCUUCUGUUGCAUUUGCUGUCAGUGGCGACUCUGUCACCCUGUCCUGUAACUUCACCAGCGCUUAUAACAGUGAUAAUCUCCUGUGGUAUCGUCAAUACUUCAGCUCCAGACCAGAGUUUCUGUUUCUCAUAAGUAAAAGCAACUUUAAACAGCCAGCUGAUCCUCCAAUACAUGGAAUAUCUGCUAAACUAAAUGAAGAGAAAACUCAUCUGGAGAUCUCCUCUGUUUCUCUAUCAGACUCUGCUCUGUAUUACUGCGCCCUGCAGCCCACAGUGACAGAAAACACAACAACACUGAACAAAAACAACAUUGCUGAGCUGUGA
Triplophysa dalaica is the source of this 399-nucleotide non-coding RNA. The record is from the annotation of a RefSeq genome assembly. Lineage: Eukaryota; Metazoa; Chordata; Actinopteri; Cypriniformes; Nemacheilidae.